UGGGGAAUUUUGCACAAUGGGGGAAACCCUGAUGCAGCGACGCCGCGUGAUUUAGAAGGCCUUCGGGUUGUAAAAAUCUUUUCUAUGGGAAGAAAAUGACAGUACCAUAGGAAUAAGGACCGGCUAAUUACGUGCCAGCAGCCGCGGUAAUACGUAAGGUCCGAGCGUUGUACGGAAUCAUUGGGCGUAAAGGGUACGUAGGCGGGUAAGCAAGUUAGAAGUGAAAUCCUAUAGCUCAACUAUAGUAAGCUUUUAAAACUGCUCAUCUUGAGGUAUGGAAGGGAAAGUGGAAUUCCUAGUGUAGCGGUGAAAUGCGCAGAUAGUAGGAGGAAUACCGGUGGCGAAGGCGACUUUCUGGCCAUAACCUGACGCUGAGGUACGAAAGCGUGGGUAGCAAACAGG
RNAcentral lists this ribosomal RNA (402 nucleotides) under bacterium. Its description in RNAcentral is "partial 16S ribosomal RNA". It matches the Rfam family "Bacterial small subunit ribosomal RNA", at positions 355 to 776 of the family's 1533-position model. The record is from RNAcentral.